RNAcentral lists this ribosomal RNA (1286 nucleotides) under metagenome. RNAcentral's name for it is "bacterial SSU rRNA". It matches the Rfam family "Bacterial small subunit ribosomal RNA", at positions 242 to 1520 of the family's 1533-position model. The record is from RNAcentral.
UAGCUAGUUGGUGAGGUAAAGGCUUACCAAGGCGACGAUCUGUAGCGGGUCUGAGAGGAUGAUCCGCCACACUGGAACUGAGACACGGUCCAGACUCCUACGGGAGGCAGCAGUGGGGAAUUUUGGACAAUGGGGCAACCCUGAUCCAGCCAUGCCGCGUGAGUGAAGAAGGCCUUCGGGUUGUAAAGCUCUUUCGGCCGGGAAGAAAUCGCAUGGGCCAAUACCCUGUGUGGAUGACGGUACCGGAAUAAGAAGCACCGGCUAACUACGUGCCAGCAGCCGCGGUAAUACGUAGGGUGCGAGCGUUAAUCGGAAUUACUGGGCGUAAAGCGUGCGCAGGCGGUUUUGUAAGACAGGCGUGAAAUCCCCGGGCUUAACCUGGGAACUGCGUUUGUGACUGCAAGGCUAGAGUACGGCAGAGGGGGGUGGAAUUCCACGCGUAGCAGUGAAAUGCGUAGAGAUGUGGAGGAACACCAAUGGCGAAGGCAGCCCCCUGGGUCGAUACUGACGCUCAUGCACGAAAGCGUGGGUAGCAAACAGGAUUAGAUACCCUGGUAGUCCACGCCCUAAACUAUGCCAACUAGGUGUUGGGUGGGUAAAACCAUUUAGUACCGUAGCUAACGCGUGAAGUUGACCGCCUGGGGAGUACGGCCGCAAGGUUAAAACUCAAAGGAAUUGACGGGGACCCGCACAAGCGGUGGAUGAUGUGGAUUAAUUCGAUGCAACGCGAAAAACCUUACCUACCCUUGACAUGCCAGGAACUUGCCAGAGAUGGCUUGGUGCCCGAAAGGGAGCCUGGACACGGGUGCUGCAUGGCUGUCGUCAGCUCGUGUCGUGAGAUGUUGGGUUAAGUCCCGCAACGAGCGCAACCCUUGUCGUUAAUUGCCAUCAUUUAGUUGGGCACUUUAACGAGACUGCCGGUGACAAACCGGAGGAAGGUGGGGAUGACGUCAAGUCCUCAUGGCCCUUAUGGGUAGGGCUUCACACGUCAUACAAUGGUCGGUACAAAGGGUUGCCAAGCCGCGAGGCGGAGCCAAUCCCAGAAAGCCGAUCGUAGUCCGGAUUGCAGGCUGCAACUCGCCUGCAUGAAGUCGGAAUCGCUAGUAAUCGUGGAUCAGCAUGUCACGGUGAAUACGUUCCCGGGUCUUGUACACACCGCCCGUCACACCAUGGGAGCGGGUUCCGCCAGAAGUAGGUAGCCUAACCGCAAGGGGGGCGCUUACCACGGCGGGGUUCGUGACUGGGGUGAAGUCGAAACAAGGUAGCCGUAGGGGAACCUGCGGCUG